AAUCAAAUCAAUCGAGUCGUUUUUCGCCUCCAAGUGAAGGACAAUACCGCCAUGGUGGAUGCUUUAAAAUAUCGGCCCUUGACGAUUUACUUGAAACUCCGCAGUAAAAUAACGAAGAUAAAUUCAACACAAGUGAACAGUGCUCAUUGAUACACUGGUAUGUGCAAGCUGCACAUAACGUCACAUCCAUGCUGCGAUGCUUGUCCAAUGGAGGCCAUUGAGAGGCCCAAUACACACGAUUGUGGAGGUGUACGUAGUGCAUGUGCAGCACUGCAGUGCCAUUGCGGUGUGAUUUGCUGCAUAUAGGAAGUGAGUUCUAAUAAGUAUACGGAGUGGGUACGCAUGCGUUAACUGAUUUAAACGAAUGCAUUCAUCUUGUGUGGUGCAAUACGGCUUCGUCAUAUUCCAUUUUUCCGGAAGGUUUAUUAUUGUUUACAAUGCAUGUGAGAUUCGUUGGAAAGCGAAUUUAAUGUCGUCGUAAAUGAGAAUGCGAACCACUUUCGUUCGAAACUCUCAUUCGUCAUAAACAAGAAUAAGGGUGACCAUAUGACGUCAUCAGAUUAUCUUUUCAGUGAAAAUGGAAUUGCGUAGUGACGAAGCCGCACGUCACCUUACUUUAGCAUAAAUCAGUCAACGCAGAUGUACCAUAGGGGUGGUACGAUGAAAAGGCUCCAAGCACACGGUGAAGCAAAUUAUAGCGUAGGUGGCAUUGUAGAAUCUAAGCUGUUCAAGGUGAAUGUAUUGGAUUUCGACGAGAAUGUUUAAGGCGGUAGUUCUUUUUCGAUCCAGUGUUGAAGAUCGUAAUUUACAGUUCAUAAAAUGAAAAAAAGAUC
Long non-coding RNA from Topomyia yanbarensis, 833 nucleotides. RefSeq lists it as uncharacterized. The transcript is spliced from 3 exons. NCBI's taxonomy places the organism in Eukaryota, Metazoa, Arthropoda, Insecta, Diptera, Culicidae. The record is from RefSeq and is a predicted model, not a curated record.